GACGAACGCUGGCGGCGUGCUUAACACAUGCAAGUCGAACGGAAAGGCCCGGCUUUUGUGCGGUGCUCGAGUGGCGAACGGGGGAGUAUCACGUGAGUAACCUGCCCUUUUCUGUGGGAUACCUUCAGUAGACUGGGGCUAAUACCCGAUAUAAGCUCCUUCUGCAUGGUGGUUGUUGUAAAGUUUCGGCGUUUGGGGAUGGACUCGCGGCUUAUCAGCUUGUUGGUGGGGUAGUGGCUUACCAAGGCUUUGACGGGUAGCCGGCCUGAGAGGGUGACCGGCCACAUUGGGACUGAGAUACGGCCCAGAGUCCUACGGGAGGCAGCAGUGGGGAAUAUUGCACGAUGGGCGGAAGCCUGAUGCAGCAACGCCGCGUGCGGGAUGACGGCCUUCGGGUUGUAAACCGCUUUCGCCUGUGACGAAGCGUGAGUGACGGUAAUGGGUAAAGAAGCACCGGCUAACUACGUG
Molecule: ribosomal RNA, 468 nt
Filed under: uncultured bacterium
Lineage: Bacteria
Description: partial 16S ribosomal RNA
Rfam family: Bacterial small subunit ribosomal RNA
Source: RNAcentral